RNAcentral lists this ribosomal RNA (489 nucleotides) under Triticum aestivum (bread wheat). RNAcentral's name for it is "partial small subunit ribosomal RNA". Lineage: Eukaryota; Viridiplantae; Streptophyta; Magnoliopsida; Poales; Poaceae. The record is from RNAcentral.
AUGCCGAGGACAAGGAGGCUGCGCGGCGGGUUCCGGCUCGGCCGGAAGCUGCUGACCGCAUGGCGGUGGGCGCUCUGCGGCCGGAACCGGCGCCGGGGCGGCGGUGGCUACCUCCGCCUCGACACGCCGUGCCCGAUGGAGGGCAGGGAGGCCAAGAAGCUGGCACCGGUGCUGCGGUGGGGCAAGUCGCUGGCGCGGCUCCUCAGCCUCGGCCGGGCGGACCGCGGGCAGCAGACGCUCGAGGCGGUGAAGACCCCCAAGGGGCAGGUGGCGGUGUACGUCGGCGGCGGCGGGCCCGGGGAGCCGCUGCGGUACGUGGUGCCCGUGGUGUACUUCAACCACCCCAUGUUCGGGGAGCUGCUGCGGGAGGCCGAGGAGGCGUUCGGCUUCCAGCACCCCGGCGGCAUCACCAUCCCCUGCGCCGCCGCCAAGUUCGAGCGCGCCGCCGCCGUGGCCGCCGCCGGCAAGAAGGGGUUCGCCAGGUGGUAG